Molecule: unclassified non-coding RNA, 149 nt
Filed under: uncultured Passalora
Lineage: Eukaryota; Fungi; Ascomycota; Dothideomycetes; Mycosphaerellales; Mycosphaerellaceae
Description: sequence contains ITS2
Source: RNAcentral
CACCACUCGAGUCUGACUCGGUAUUGGGGGCCGCGACCCGUUCGCGCCCCUUAAAGUCUCCGGCUGGGCGGCCCGUCUCCGAGCGUUGUGGCAUCACAGUCUCGCUAGGGAGUCGCGGGUGGCGUCGGCCGUUAAACACCCCCAUCAAA